This is a long non-coding RNA of Manis pentadactyla (Chinese pangolin), 1984 nucleotides long. RefSeq lists it as uncharacterized. The record is from RefSeq and is a predicted model, not a curated record. Lineage: Eukaryota; Metazoa; Chordata; Mammalia; Pholidota; Manidae. The transcript is spliced from 2 exons.
GCAGCUCCAGGCGCGGGCCCCGCGCGCGCUCCACGCGGCCCCAGCACAGCUCCGCCUGCAGGCUGCAGCCCUCUAGCCAGGAUUCCCAGCUCUGGGCCGCCGCCGUCCCCGCCGCGGGCGACUGCAGCGACGGCCCCAGGUAGCUGGGAGCGGGGAACGGUUGGCUCAGGGCCGUGGCGUGGGCCUGCGGGAAGGCCCACAAGGGCGGCGCGAGCGCUAGGAGCGCGCUCGGGCCGUGGAAGCUGUGAUAUUCCCGCGGAGCCGCCCACUCGCCCGCGCUUAGGCACAGGGGCCUGCUGCAGAAGUUGUGAGCCUGGAUGGGAGGCAGCAGCAGAGGGGCGGGCAGGUAGGUGUAGGUGAGGGCCUGCAGCGGAGGCCAGACGCCCUUCUCGGGUGCCAGGCAACUGUAUGAGUACAUGGUCUGAAGCUCAGGCGGCGGGCAUUUUUACAGGGGCCUGGUCCUGGUCCAGACCUGUGGUGGGGGUGUGUGCGAUACACUUCGAUCUUAUCUCCACCGUCUGUCCCUGGGGCCUGAUAACUCGGGGCGCUGGUUCACAGCAGGAGCCCUUACCGCGCAUGCGUGCCUCAUAGCUUUGGGGAACUAGUCCUAAAACAUUCAGCUCCCACCUCUCUUGUCCUAGGGCUGGGCCCUAAUCCCAGGCUCCCACCAGGCUUUAAGGACUCAAGGCCUUUUCAAGCCCUCAACCCAGAAAUGCUCUUCCCAGGUAACUCCCCACUCACUUGUCUCCUUCAGCCCAGAGGACCUGGUUCCCGGCAUUUGGUGCAGCCACAGAGGUCCAGAGCAGGACUCCUCUCUGCCACCGCUUUUUAGUCGAGCUGCUCCCCUCCAUACCCUGCGUCAGCCACACCUCCUGGUUUCCAGGCAAAAGGAAACAUCCUGAGCUGGCCAGGAGCCAGCCAGCCUGUGUCUACACUAGCACCUGAGGAAUGUCCAAGACUACCUACAGACUGACCUCACCUCAGCCUGGAGUUCAAUGAUGGGCCCUGUGAGAGUGGCCAGUUUCUCUAUCUGCUCCUACGUGGAGAUCUGGUCUCAUCUGGUGGGAGAUGGAGAGAGUGUGAGAACAAACUCACAUUGGAGCCUGGGAGGGUGAGAAGUUUGUAUUUUAAUAUUCGCCCCUACAUGCUUGCUGAAAGCCUGUUGGUUCUGGGGAAGGAGUUUAGAGGCCCAAUGAGAAAAAUAAGGGUCAAGCUAUGAGUUUCUCUGUAUUCAUUACACCAAUUCCAGUAACAGUCAACAGACUUUUUGGGAAGAGCAUUUCUGGGUCCUCAUCUAAGUAAAGUGGUUCUUGGAAAGUUGGCUCUAUUCCAUCCUUAAAUUGUGGGUGAUUUAGGGCUAAGCCAAUCAGCACCGACCUUCCUCUGGCCAUAGUGAUGGGUUUAGGGUAGCCAUGUGAUUUAAUUUGGCCAAUGGGGCCAAACCCAGACUUUGUUCACUUGUUUGGUGGAGAAGAGUGUUUUCUUUCUCUGGACAGAAAUCUGAAACAAUGCAGGCUGAGUGGAGAGAGAAGGCAUGGAGCUACAGAAGUGGAGCCAAGGGACAGAAACUGGGUCCUGGUGACAUGGUUUGAAUCCUGGACUUUAAACUUAUGCAAGCCAAUAAAUUCCUUUUUCUCUUCCAGUUUUACUCAGGUAUAGUUGACAUGUACCACUACACCAUUGUAUAAGUUUAAGGUGUACAGCAUAAUGAUUUGUCUUAUGUGUUUGUGAAAUGACUACCAGAACGAGUUUAGUUAACGUCCAUCAUUUCAGAUACAAAAAAGAAAAAAUUUUUUUCCUUGUGAUGAGACUUAAGAUUUUCUCUUCUAACAACUGUAAAAUAUACCAGGCAGCAUUAACUCUAGUCAUUAUGUCAUACAUUACAUCCCAAUACUUAUUUACCUUUUAACUGGAACUUUGUGUCUUGUGGCCACCUUUAUGCAAAUCUCUCUCCCUUCAAUAAAUUCUUUUCUUGCUUAAUCUA